GUACUAAUAGCUCAAGUUAGAGCACCAGUCUUGUAAACUGGAUGUUGAAGGUUAAAGUCCUUCUUAGUGCU
Molecule: transfer RNA, 71 nt
Filed under: Epiplatys guineensis
Lineage: Eukaryota; Metazoa; Chordata; Actinopteri; Cyprinodontiformes; Nothobranchiidae
Description: tRNA-Thr
Rfam family: tRNA
About the family: Transfer RNA (tRNA) molecules are approximately 80 nucleotides in length.
Source: RNAcentral